CCACCGAGCGCCGCCGCGCCGAUAUUGUGAUGCAGCGAGUGACAUGGAACCAUUUGCCGAGCACCGCCGGGGCCGCUGGGACUCAGUAUCUAAAUCGCAAUUUGAGUUUCCGUGUAGAGCAAGACUGGGAGAUUGCGGUAUCGAAUUGUGGCCAAAUUUGUGGAAACUGAAUCCCUGCGUUGCACUUCGUCUCACCAGCAGGUUAUCGUCCAUGAGUAGUCCGGAUAAAAAAAUUGCUCGGCACUCACACUCCUUAUAAGGAACACCUACAAUGGCAUUUGACUAAUUAAAGAGAGAUAUAUAGAAGUUCAUCCAACAGAGUAGCAGACUUCUGAAUUCGAUAGGGUACAUUGGUAGUGAUGAGAAGAGCAGGAACCUGAGAAGGAGUCAAGGAAGGGAGACAAAAGUGAAGAGAAAUGGAGGCAGGAGAACAAUGUAGUUGUUGUAAAGUGAAUCAGAGAAGAAAAUGAGGCUGAAGAGGAUCAAAGGAAAGUGACUGAGUUUCUUUCAGAGGAAUUUCACAGCACUGAGAGAGGAGGAAGCAAAACGUGGAGCCUCAUAUUUGAGAGCCUGUUCCAGACCAGAAAGUUCAUGUUUCAGCUACCAGGAAUCAGUAUCUGCUACAAAUUUCUUCGCAGUUACCCUAAGCUGCACAGUAUGCUGUCCCUUUCCUUGGGGAGACACCAAAGGAUGCUGGCUAUAUGAUCUGCAGUGCUGGAGAGAUGAGAGAUUCAUUAACAUUUUCAGAAAAACUUGGCAUUGUACACUAUGUGUCCAUGAAUAUUCCACCAUGAGGGCACAAUGGAUGAACAUGGAAUAACAUCCUAUCCCGGUAAUAUAUUCAUGGGCACAGGGUGCGGAUAUGUGUCUGAUCAAUUGCGUUUGCGCAGCUCAGGAAGCCCAUUUGUUCAAACCUUAUCGUUAUUUCAGCAAUACUUUCAGUUUUGACAGCGCUGGGGAAUAUUGACUGCCUUGCAAACCUCAAUGACUGCUCUGCUUUAUCAAUAGUAGGUUUUCCAGCCUCAGUUUGAUAAGCAAAUGACUUGUAGCAGCCGGGACAAAUAGCAACACACUUUUGGACAACAAAUAGCAGCAAACAGCAUUUCUCGGAUGAGUAUGUUGCUGCUCAGUAGCUGGGACAGAGCUCAUUAAUACCGUUAUGGAUGUGCUUUUGUUUCGUGAGAAGAUUCUGAACUUACUGCUACAUUUCCAGCACAGUUUGCUCCUCUAAGGUGAACCUGAGUUCCUGGCUCAAGAAAG
Molecule: long non-coding RNA, 1260 nt
Filed under: Struthio camelus australis
Lineage: Eukaryota; Metazoa; Chordata; Aves; Struthioniformes; Struthionidae
Description: lncRNA (ENSSCUG00000002764.1)
Source: RNAcentral